ACAGUGGACGCGAGCAUCUGUGGCCAAGUUUUUAAGGGCGCACGGUGGAUGCCUUGGCACCAGGAACCGAUGAAGGACGUGGGAGGCCACGAUAGUCCCCGGGGAGUCGUCAACCAGGCUUUGAUCCGGGGGUUUCCGAAUGGGGAAACCCGGCAGUCGUCAUGGGCUGUCACCCGCUGCUGAACACAUAGGCAGUGUGGAGGGAACGCGGGGAAGUGAAACAUCUCAGUACCCGCAGGAAGAGAAAACAACCGUGAUUCCGGGAGUAGUGGCGAGCGAAACCGGAUGAGGCCAAACCGUAUACGUGUGAGACCCGGCAGGGGUUGCGUAUGCGGGGUUGUGGGAUCUCUCUUUCACAGUCUGCCGGCUGUGAGACGAGUCAGAAACCGUUGAUGUAGGCGAAGGACAUGCGAAAGGUCCGGCGUAGAGGGUAAGACCCCCGUAGUCGAAACAUCAGCGGCUCGUUUGAGAGACACCCAAGUAGCACGGGGCCCGAGAAAUCCCGUGUGAAUCUGGCGGGACCACCCGUUAAGCCUAAAUAUUCCCUGGUGACCGAUAGCGGAUAGUACCGUGAGGGAAUGGUGAAAAGUACCGCGGGAGCGGAGUGAAAUAGUACCUGAAACCGUGUGCCUACAAGCCGUGGGAGCGUCGCGCAUCAAGCUUGCUUGGUGCGUCGUGACUGCGUGCCUUUUGAAGAAUGAGCCUGCGAGUUUGCGGUGUGUUGCGAGGUUAACCCGUGUGGGGAAGCCGUAGCGAAAGCGAGUCCGAAUAGGGCGGUUUAGUAGCGCGCUCAAGACCCGAAGCGGAGUGAUCUAGCCAUGGGCAGGUUGAAGCGGCUGUAAGAGGUCGUGGAGGACCGAACCCACCAGGGUUGAAAACCUGGGGGAUGACCUGUGGUUAGGGGUGAAAGGCCAAUCAAACUCCGUGAUAGCUGGUUCUCCCCGAAAUGCAUUUAGGUGCAGCGUCGUGUGUUUCUUGCCGGAGGUAGAGCACUGGAUAGGCGAUGGGCCCUACCGGGUUACUGACCUUAGCCAAACUCCGAAUGCCGGUAAGUGAGAGCACGGCAGUGAGACUGUGGGGGAUAAGCUCCAUGGUCGAGAGGGAAACAGCCCAGAGCAUCGACUAAGGCCCCUAAGCGUACGCUAAGUGGGAAAGGAUGUGGAGUCGCACAGACAACCAGGAGGUUGGCUUAGAAGCAGCCACCCUUGAAAGAGUGCGUAAUAGCUCACUGGUCUAGUGAUUCCGCGCCGACAAUGUAGCGGGGCUCAAGCGUACCGCCGAAGUCGUGUCAUUCACACAAUAGGGCCAACGCCUGUGUGGAUGGGUAGGGGAGCGUCGUGUGCCGGGUGAAGCUGCGCCGGAAGGCAGUGGUGGACGGUUCACGAGUGAGAAUGCAGGCAUGAGUAGCGAUACAUACGUGAGAAACGUGUGCGCCGAUUGACUAAGGGUUCCUGGGUCAAGCUGAUCUGCCCAGGGUAAGUCGGGACCUAAGGCGAGGCCGACAGGCGUAGUCGAUGGAUAACCGGUUGAUAUUCCGGUACCCGCUGUGAAGCGUCAAACAUCGAGCCCAUUAAUGCUAAGGCCGUGAAGCCGCCCUGAUCUCUUCGGAGUUGAGGGGAGUGGUGGAGCCGCUGACCCAAGGUGGUAGUAGGUGAGUGAUGGGGUGACGCAGGAAGGUAGUCCAGCCCGGGCGGUGGUUGUCCCGGGGUAAGGGUGUAGGCCGUGUGAUAGGUAAAUCCGUCGCACAUUAAGGCUGAGACCUGAUGCCGAGCCGAUUGUGGUGAAGUGGAUGAUCCUAUGCUGUCGAGAAAAGCCUCUAGCGAGUUUCAUGGCGGCCCGUACCCUAAACCGACUCAGGUGGUCAGGUAGAGAAUACCGAGGCGUUCGGGUGAACUAUGGUUAAGGAACUCGGCAAAAUGCCCCCGUAACUUCGGGAGAAGGGGGGCCAUCACUGGUGAUCCGUUUUACACGGUGAGCUGGGGGUGGCCGCAGAGACCAGCGAGAAGCGACUGUUUACUAAAAACACAGGUCCGUGCGAAGCCGUAAGGCGAUGUAUACGGACUGACGCCUGCCCGGUGCUGGAACGUUAAGGGGACCGGUUAGUGCACUUUCGGGUGUGCGAAGCUGAGAACUUAAGCGCCAGUAAACGGCGGUGGUAACUAUAACCAUCCUAAGGUAGCGAAAUUCCUUGUCGGGUAAGUUCCGACCUGCACGAAUGGCGUAACGACUUCUCGACUGUCUCAACCAUAGGCCCGGUGAAAUUGCACUACGAGUAAAGAUGCUCGUUUCGCGCAGAAGGACGGAAAGACCCCGGGACCUUUACUAUAGUUUGAUAUUGGUGUUCGGUUCGGCUUGUGUAGGAUAGGUGGGAGACUUUGAAGCGGGCACGCCAGUGUUCGUGGAGUCGCCGUUGAAAUACCACUCUGGUCGUGCUGGAUGUCUAACCUCGGUCCGUGAUCCGGAUCAGGGACAGUGUCUGAUGGGUAGUUUAACUGGGGCGGUUGCCUCCCAAAGAGUAACGGAGGCGCCCAAAGGUUCCCUCAGCCUGGUUGGUAAUCAGGUGUUGAGUGUAAGUGCACAAGGGAGCUUGACUGUGAGACCGACGGGUCGAGCAGGGACGAAAGUCGGGACUAGUGACCCGGCGGUGGCUUGUGGAAGCGCCGUCGCUCAACGGAUAAAAGGUACCCCGGGGAUAACAGGCUGAUCUUCCCCAAGAGUCCAUAUCGACGGGAUGGUUUGGCACCUCGAUGUCGGCUCGUCGCAUCCUGGGGCUGGAGUCGGUCCCAAGGGUUGGGCUGUUCGCCCAUUAAAGCGGUACGCGAGCUGGGUUUAGAACGUCGUGAGACAGUUCGGUCCCUAUCCUCUGUGCGCGUAGGAAUAUUGAGAAGGGCUGUCCCUAGUACGAGAGGACCGGGACGGACGAACCUCUGGUGUGCCAGUUGUCCUGCCAAGGGCAUGGCUGGUUGGCUACGUUCGGAAAGGAUAACCGCUGAAAGCAUCUAAGCGGGAAGCCUGCUUCGAGAUGAGUAUUCCCACCCCCUUUGAGGGGUUAAGGCUCCCAGUAGACGACUGGGUUGAUAGGCCAGAUCUGGAAGCCCGGUAACGGGUGGAGGUGACUGGUACUAAUAGGCCGAGGGCUUGUCCUCAGUUG
This 3151-nucleotide ribosomal RNA is filed under the name Streptomyces sp. WAC 01529. RNAcentral describes it as "23S ribosomal RNA". It matches the Rfam family "Bacterial large subunit ribosomal RNA". Lineage: Bacteria; Bacillati; Actinomycetota; Actinomycetes; Kitasatosporales; Streptomycetaceae. The record is from RNAcentral.